AUGACCAGGGUUGUUCUCUUGGUAACUGUGUGAAUUGGACCAUUUUCCUGUCCUGCUAAGCAUGCCAACUGUAAUGAGUACUUUUGGGUGUCAUGGAAAAUGUAUUGAGUAAAAGUACAUGAUUGUCUUUAGAACAGGAGUCGAGAAGGUCAGUGUGCAAAAUCUGGACAAGAUAGAUUGCCGCGAAAGAAAAAUAGUGUUAUAGACAAGAUAAAAACGUCAAGACAGAAGAGAGAAAGGAGACCAUGUUGAGACAUUCUCUACAUCCAGAGAGCAACAGCAGGAAGAUCACAGAGUGAAGAGGUCUCACCACUGCCCACGUUGUGAGGAGAUUUUCCAAUUCUAUCAAGCUAAAAAACACACCUAAAAAUACAGACAAUGUAGAAUCUUUAUCCCUGCUUUGACUGUGGGAAGAGCUGCACAAUAUCAAGGGAUCUGACAGUUCAUCAGUCAACACUGGAGAAAAGCCUUACUCCUGCUCUGACCGUUGGAGAGUUUCUCUCAACAUGGCCACUUAAAAACACACCAACAUAUACAUAAAUGUGAGAUUCCUCAUCAGUUCUCUGACUAGCGAAGAUUAAAAUCAUUCCAUCACUUAAUUAUCAAGAAAUCGUAGAACACUCUAUUGUAAUCCUAUAGUUUCUCACUGUGACUUAAUUAUCAAGAAGUUGUAACACACUAUUUUAGUCGUAUUGUUUCUCACUGUGAUAUCUGUGCAGAGGAAAGGGAGUGUUAUAGAAUGUUAGCCUCUCUUUACUUUACUGAUCAGUAUUCACUGAAACCUGCUUAAUUUAUCUGCAAAUUAAAAAUAAAGUUUGUACAUUUGUA
Long non-coding RNA from Oncorhynchus keta (chum salmon), 828 nucleotides. RefSeq lists it as uncharacterized. NCBI's taxonomy places the organism in Eukaryota, Metazoa, Chordata, Actinopteri, Salmoniformes, Salmonidae. The record is from RefSeq and is a predicted model, not a curated record. The transcript has 2 exons.